Non-coding RNA from Pelobates cultripes (western spadefoot toad), 312 nucleotides. NCBI's taxonomy places the organism in Eukaryota, Metazoa, Chordata, Amphibia, Anura, Pelobatidae. The record is from the annotation of a GenBank genome assembly.
CAGAAUUAAGCCGGUAAUGUAAGACUGCUGGAAAUAAGCCUUGGGAUUUCAUUACAUCCACAUGUGAUUCUGUUGUAUAAUAGCCAUCAAUAUAAUCCGGUCAUAAUGGUAGCAAAUUAUAUGUCCUGGUGCAAACUCUAGAACUGAGGACAAAACAAAAAGUAGAUCUCCAGCUAUUAUAGAACUACCAUUAAGGCUGGGCAAGCUCUUCCUCAUUAAAAAUUACAGUUCGACUUAAUUUUAUGUUUUUAUUCUGCUAUUAUACUGCGCUGCUUAUAAUGUUGGUGCUAUAUAACAAAAAAAAUAACAAUC